Capsicum annuum is the source of this 704-nucleotide long non-coding RNA. RefSeq lists it as uncharacterized. The transcript is spliced from 2 exons. The record is from RefSeq and is a predicted model, not a curated record. Lineage: Eukaryota; Viridiplantae; Streptophyta; Magnoliopsida; Solanales; Solanaceae.
GGCAUAUUCCCCUUAACAGAAUUGAGCACACAACUCACAUAAAAAAGAUCCCCAUUUCUCUAAUCAGGGAGGCAUACAAUUAUCUCCAUCGUCACUCACUUGCGAGACUCCACUAACAAAACACAGAAAUGGUCACACAAAAGAGCUCCCGUUUUUCAUUUCUUAGAUAGGCUUCACUCUCUCAAUUCACUGAAGAUACUAACACACACAUACACAGAUUAACGCACGCACACAUACCGAUCGGGAUAGGGAGAAGAAUCUGAUGAGACGAACACUAGAUUUCGGUCGAGCUUCAAGCUUUUCCGGUAGGGUUUAAGGUUUCCAGAAAAAUUAUUAGCCGAAAUUAGCUCCGGUUUUGAAGCCUACUUGUUUAUAUCAAGCUCGGUUCGUGGUUGAGGUUUGAGUCGAGGUCAUCAGAUGCAAAUUCUCCGAUUUUAAUUAGAAUAAUACCUUGAUUUUGAAAGUGUAAUUGGAGGUCCGAUUCUGUCUCUUCUCACUUUUAUUUUAUUUACGUGUUUGAUUUGUGUGAAGCAUGAUAUGACAUGAGUGUUUUUUGGUGAUUUUGAUUCAUUGUUUGAUUUUAUUGUUAUUGGUUAUGGAUUGUUGAAAGUAGCAAUUGUGAAUUAUCACGUUGGAACCUUGAGUAGAAUUUGGGGGCGAGAAUCAAAAAUUGAUAAAAAUGGAUAUUAGGGUAUUUUGAUUCA